Molecule: long non-coding RNA, 555 nt
Organism: Nematostella vectensis (starlet sea anemone)
Lineage: Eukaryota; Metazoa; Cnidaria; Anthozoa; Actiniaria; Edwardsiidae
Exons: 2
Source: RefSeq, a predicted model, not a curated record
UACCGAGGUCGGGUUUUGCAAUUAUGUUUUUGACAUAACUGCGAAAUCGAUGGUUUACCCAUAUACAGAGGUCGGGUUUUGCAAUUAUGUUUUUGACAUAACUGCGAAAUCGAUGGUAAAUAUGAAAGCGUGCAGAUAGGGUAUAAAAGAAAGAAAUGGAUGGCAAAUAGGAGAUAGAUAGUGGUUAUAUAAGUAUAGGACAGUUGGCUCCUUGAGUACGGGGUGUUAUAUUGUGUCGUGUAGAGAGAGAUUGUGUAACGAUGCGCGCUCUAAGAUAGUGACUGAUAAGCGAUGAGCUUAUGCGAUGGCCUAUAUUGAGCGAAAAUAAUACGCGGAGGCAGGCAGCAGAAACGGCAGGGAUACGAAGAAUCGAGUGAAGUAAAUGGCAUAUACCUGGCGGGCUGAUAAAAGGAGCCUCUGACGACCAGCCUUCCACAGGAAAACCGGAUGGCAAGCCAAGCAACUAGGUCAAAAGGGUGUCCAAAACUUCGUUUUAUUAUAAGUAACACAUUACAUGCGAUAGAAUAUCUUCAUUAAAUAAAUCAGUUAUAUCCU